This 5345-nucleotide long non-coding RNA is filed under the name Oncorhynchus kisutch (coho salmon). RNAcentral describes it as "lncRNA (ENSOKIG00005016779.1)". Lineage: Eukaryota; Metazoa; Chordata; Actinopteri; Salmoniformes; Salmonidae. The record is from RNAcentral.
AGGUCUCUGACCUAGAGGUCCAGAAUUUAAGUACUCACCCGGGGGAUCAAUGGAUUAAGCCCCAGUCUAUCUGUUCCAAGAUUGUGGUAGGCAAAAAAACCUCGUGGUUAAAAAAAAGUGAAAGAAAUUGAGCCGGGAAAAAUGUGAUCUUAAAUGUUUUAGUUGUGUUGUUUUCCAUUCGCCUCUGAAAAAAGGUGGCGCAUGCUACAUCAGAAUGACCUUUGUCAGUCGUUUUAAAUAAUUUUUGAAUUUUAACAAAUCUUGGCAAGCUCAGUUGAUCCAACUAUGGCCAAUAAAUAGCAUGCCAUGCCAGAAUCAGUUGCAGAUAGAGUAAAAAGCAUCACUCUGACCAAUCAGUGCCCUCCUCUGGGUGCACAGUUGUUGUUUUUUCUUCUUAAUGUUUUUUUUUUUUUUUCAAGACGAAGGACAAGCAAGUUCAAAUGGCUUUUGCCAUAUCUCCAUGAAUUAAUGUUUUUGUUGAUAAAGAUAUAUAUUUUAAGGCUGAAAAGCGACACGAAUGGAAACUUCGUAGUGGAAGGAAUGUUACUGGUGUCUUGCAAAGAUAGAAAAUGUACCUUUGGCGCUUCUCUAUCGCCAUGAUUCUUGGGCUUGUUUGGUAUUUCUCGGACUGCGGACAGGUUGUGGCUCAAAUAGUUUUGUGUUUACUAUUUUGGCCAUCAACCCCUCAUUUCUUCAUAAAGACCGGACGGGAAAGCGGCACUCAAACAUACGAUGUGGCUGAAGACAACUCAUUUCAGGAAACACUAAAGGAUGAACAUUUAGGUUGUGGUGUGACUGAUACAACAAGCACUAAAGCUAAAACAUCACAGGAGACACAGUUUCCCCAUGUGAAGAGGUCUCUUCAGCAAGUGUUUGAGUGUGCCUACGCCCAGCUAGUCCUCCCCUGGUACUGCGUCCCUGAGCCCUGUGACAGUCAGCUCCUGCACGGGGUGCUGUGGAAGGAGUUUGACCAAGUCAUUGAUCAAGUCAUCAGCAGAGGCAAAGACUUUGAUGUCUGCUCAGCAAGUGUGGGCUGCAUUCGCAUCCUGACCCAGCACCUCCAUAGUGCCAAACAGUCUGAUAGAGAACCAUUGUUCAGCUCUAGGGGAGAGGAGGUUGAAGUUCUAAGAGUCUUCUCUGAAGCACUGGUGCGAAACCUUUUCCCUCAGUCUCUAUGGGGACUGGCAGUCAGCCACUGUGCCUUAAAUGAGAUUGUUGCCUUAAAAGUGCUGGACCUGCUGGUGCGGUGGCUAUCAGACCCAGACAACCUCAACCAGCUGGUGGUGAGUCGGCUGGAUGGAGUGACCCCCAAGAGCUCUGUGGAAGAGCUGUGUGAGUCUAACUCUGACGGGGCCUCUCCAGCCGCCCUGGAGAGCCAGACCAGUGAUGCAACACUGGAAGAAACCGAGAAUGCUCAAACCGGUGAUGGCAAGUCCAAAAAGAAAGCCAACAAAUUGAAGGAAGGCUGGUCUAAAAUCCUUGACAAGAUGAAAUCGAAGAAAGAUAAAAGGAAGAAGAUGAAGAAAAAGGAGCAGGUGCUGGUGGUCAGAGCCAAGUCUAUCCAGGAUUGUUCAUCAAAGGAAAGUGAAGGUAGUAGCCGGGAGUGUUCCAUCCAGAGGCAGCAGGACCCCGACAGCGAGGAUGGUGAUCUGGAGAGCUACUUGACCAGCGUACAAGAAGAAAUGAUGGAAUUCAAGCUGUCAUAUGAGAUGUGGCGGGUUGGCCACUGGGCUGUCAGCGUCCCUCAUAUGGAGAGGGAAAAUGAGGAGAUGUGUUUUACAGUUCACCUAGAAGAGAGGGAUAACCCUGAGAACCUUCACUGGGAUGUAAAGAAGACCCAGACGGACAUCAUCCAUUUCUGCAACCUAUGGCAGGACUCUGCUAAUUUACCCUCCCUAUCCGUGUUAGAGGCAAGCACUGAGAGUAACAGCGAGGAUUUUAGAGAAGCCAAAACGUCCCUCAAGGUCUUCUUACAGGAGCUGGUCUCUGAUGCUCUGAUGGGCCACACUCAGCCAGUGUUUCAGUUUCUGUGUCCUCUGGACAAGCUGCUGAGUGAAGAGGAGCAUGUAGGGGGAGUGUGGGGUCUCCUUAGUGGCCUGGCCUACUUCCUGUCUCCAGGGCAAGAGGAAGAUGAGGACAAGCACAACACUCUUCAAAGAGGGACCAAAUCAGAUGAUUCCAACACACCUGAGAAUGCAGACUCAACUGCAACUGAGAAGCUGAAUGAAAACAUUGGUGAUACAAGGGAUGGUUCUCUUUCAGAACCAAGUCCCAUUGAGUGCUGCAGAGGUAAAGUGAUGGUGCCAGUAGAGAAAUCAGACUGUUUGGUUAAUGCAGGCAAAACCGAGGACACAAAAGAGGAAUCGGAGAACCCUGUAACUUCUCACCUAAAGAUGAUCAACAAAGAACUAUCCAGAUCAGAGGAGUGUCUGGCCCAAACAAAAUCCGACAACCCUGAAGACCAGACCGACUCUGUCUGUAGGCCGCGACAUUUCAGUCAAAAUGGAGGCUCGCAAUAUGACCUCGCUGACAGUCCGUCAUGGUGUUAUUUAGUUGGAAAGUCAAAUAAAAAGGAUAAACUCACUUUCAAAAUGUCAGGAGGGAUCCACAGGAGUAGAGUAAAGGACAUGGGGAGUCAGUCAAAAUUAGAAGACUCGCAGUGUUUGAAAAAGAACCAAUCCAGCUGGGAGCAAAUGGAAGCAACCAAAGCCAUUUUUGAUUUGUUGAAAGCAAUAUCUGGUAAUUCCAUCCUCCUGAACAUAUUUGAUGCGAUUCUGAAACCCGUCAUGCCGAUAUUGAAAAAGAAAGUGAAAAGCUUCUUGAAUAAGAUGAACCCAACGGAUGCCCAGAUGGCCUCCUAUAUCGAUAACCUAUGUGACAAACAGUGGCCUGAGGGCUCGCCAGAGGUGACCAGCCCUAAACCCCACCGCAGCAGUCAGGAAAAGAACGAGACCAAAGACCGAGCUCAGCACCUCAUCAAUGCCAGAUAUUCAAACUAUUUAAUCUUGAAGAAGACUGAUAUGGAGACAGUGUUUAAGCUCUUCCAGGACUGUGAAGAAAACAAGAAGCUGGUCUAUAUGCUGCUUUCAUUCCUUUUGAGAGAGCUUCUGCCGGGUGAGGAUGCCCUUAAUGUGAGUGCCAUAACCCUGCAGAAAGUGAACGCCAACUAACUCAUUUUAAGAUGUUCACAGGUCAUGCUUUUAAAUUAACUGUAGUUCUGAUGUUUUAGAAAAUUAAACAAUUUAUUUGAUUGGUUGUCAUGCCUUAACAGUCCCAUUUAAGUCUACACUUGGUGGGAGUAUUAUAAUAAAGAAAUCUUAUGAUACAUUUCCAGAGAAGUAUAUUUUACCUCAUACAUUAAACAUGCUGUGAAUCAUGCCUAUUAUUUAAAAUGUAUCAUAUGUUGACGUGUUAUGUAUUUGGCAAUAUCAGCACACUAAUGUGAGGUUAUUCAAGUUAAAACAUCCUCUACCGGUGACAAUGGCGUACAUCGUUAAUCUCAGAGGGGGCAUAAAUGUACUUUGAUUUCACUGGUAGUGACACACAGAGCACUUUGAAUAAAAUGUUGAAGUUUUGACCUAAAGGGUUUUGAGCACUUUGAGCACUUUCAUAGUUGAUGGGGAGACGUGUUAUAUCAGAAGCUUUUGAGGAAAGUUGUUAAUAUUUUGUUAUUGGAUUUUGAGAAUUUCCAGAAAUUACAUACGCACCUGCCUUCUAAAAGAAAGCUUGCAAGACACUGAAUGUGAAAAUUAAGUGUCUUGUUAAUAAAGCUAUUUUAUAUAUAUCUAUAUUAGAUUUUCCUUGCUUCUUUGGCUGCGUUUACACAGCAAGCCCAAUUCUGUUUUGUUUUUUAACCAAUUGGCCUUUGACCAAUCAGAUCAGCUCUGAAAAAGAGCUGAUGUGAUAUGAUUGGUCGUAAGACCAAAUCAUGGAGAGAAAAAAGUCAUAAUUGGGCUGCCUGUUAACACAGCCUCAGACAUAUGCCUGGUAUGCUUUAGAUUGUGUGGUAGGUAUAUUCUGUCUUCUGAUUCUUCCAGUCCUGCCAUAUGGGAUUAAUGAGUUUUAACGAGUUUUUCUAUGUUGAGCAUUUUUAUGUUCACAAAAAAAAAUGGAUCAUUAAAGUAACUGUUUAGCGUUUCUAGAUGUCUAUGAAAUAGAACCUUAGAAAAUGAGUGAAAUUGUUUUCCUUCACAAAAAUGUAAGAAUAUUAAAAGGCAGCUUUUCUUUGUUGGAAUACUGUGUGUAUACCCCAUCAACAGAAUGGUGUGGGCGUAUACCGGUUGAUAGAAAUAUUAACCCAUGUAGAUGCCUGAUUGGCCAGUUCAUCCUCUUCAGGAGGAUAACAUCAUCCUCUGAGUAAAGGGCAAGUAUUUUUAAACUGUCUGAGAUGUGGGUUCGAAGUGCUUUGGCCACAUGAGUAUAGGAUGAGUCAAGAACUUUAUUUGGGUAUGAGUUAACAGAAUAUAAACUUAUAAAAGUCAGAUUUCACUGAACAGUUUCUUUAAAGCCCACAUGCAGUCUUUUUAAAAUUAUUUUUAAAUCACUAUGUGCAUGAAAAUAACUUUCUUAUCAACUUUAAAUAUAUUUACAUACACAGCCCUGAUUGGCAGAUAUAAUUGUCUAGACCAUGGUUUUUCAAACUCUUAUCUGUGAAAGUGUUGGUUUUUGCCCUAGCACUACACAGCUGAUUCAAAUAACCAACUCAUAAUCAAGCAUUAACUAUUUGAAUCAGCUGUGUAGUGCUAGGGCAAAAACCAAAAUAUGCACCCGGGGGGGGCCACAGGACCAAGUUUGGGAAGCCCUGCUCUAGAGAAGUGAUUCACAAACUUUAUUUGGUUACUGUACCCCAAAUCACAUUACAUUUGCUCUGUCUGGAGAACCCACAAAGUACCCCCUCAUGUUCAUGUUACCAGUAGGCCUAUGGUCACUCAUGAGUUUUCCCGAGUACUUCCUGUGGAUAGCACAAGUACCCCAGGUUGGGAACCACUGCUAUAAAACCAACCCUGCUUACCCCAUCAAAGAAGGAGGAUACGUAUGCAAAUAAAAGAUGACUGGUUAUUGGUCUGAAUAAUCAGAUCAUAUUGUGAUGUCAUGCUGUGGACCAAAAACUCCAUCUCACCUGAACUGGCUGAAUUAUAACAUUUUUGCUCGAAAAACUCUUACACUAAAAGAGCAUUAUCAACAUUUUGCAAAUUCCAGAGUGUUAUUUCGACCUCAUAGUGUGGAAAUGUCAUAAAAAAAAAAUGGAAAUCACAUUGUUAACUGCACUGCACCUUUAAUGCUAUGCCUAAUGAUGAUACCCAAGUAAUAUUUGGGUAUCAUCAAAAUAGUAAUAUUGAUCUAGC